RNAcentral lists this long non-coding RNA (325 nucleotides) under Capra hircus (goat). Its description in RNAcentral is "lncRNA (ENSCHIG00000004343.1)". The record is from RNAcentral. Lineage: Eukaryota; Metazoa; Chordata; Mammalia; Artiodactyla; Bovidae.
CUAAGAAGUUAUUCUUUUCCAUUUUUAGGGUGAAUGUCGAACCCAAGGGCUUUGUAUAUUUAGGUGAGUGUGAAGAUCUAUUCUCUGCUUUGGUGUGGACUUUUUCCCAAAGGUCUGUAUAAUGACUCCAUUGAAAUCCCUCCAAAAGCUCAAGGAUUGGAGGCUCCUUGGCUGGGGAGGAACAGAAGAGUUUCUCGCAUGGAGCUCUGUGGAGUACGUGCUUGAGAAAUGUGUUUUAUUCAUCCAACAGAAAAAAACUAUGUUAGAUAUCACCAGAAUGUGCAUCCCAGGAUCUUCAAAAAGCCAGACAAGAGGAAGGAAUUAG